GUACGUAUUUCACCUGUUGCCUGG
This 24-nucleotide non-coding RNA is filed under the name Cricetulus griseus (Chinese hamster). Lineage: Eukaryota; Metazoa; Chordata; Mammalia; Rodentia; Cricetidae. The record is from RNAcentral.